Molecule: ribosomal RNA, 425 nt
Filed under: uncultured bacterium
Lineage: Bacteria
Description: partial 16S ribosomal RNA
Rfam family: Bacterial small subunit ribosomal RNA
Source: RNAcentral
GUGGGGAAUAUUGGGCAAUGGGCGAAAGCCUGACGCAGCCAUGCCGCGUGAAUGAUGAAGGUCUUAGGAUUGUAAAAUUCUUUCACCGGGGACGAUAAUGACGGUACCCGGAGAAGAAGCUCCGGCUAACUUCGUGCCAGCAGCCGCGGUAAUACGAAGGGGGCUAGCGUUGCUCGGAAUUACUGGGCGUAAAGGGCGCGUAGGCGGACAGCUUAGUCAGAGGUGAAAGCCCAGGGCUCAACCUUGGAAUUGCCUUUGAUACUGGCUGUCUUGAGUUUGGGAGAGGUGAGUGGAACUCCGAGUGUAGAGGUGAAAUUCGUAGAUAUUCGGAAGAACACCAGUGGCGAAGGCGACUCACUGGCCCAAUACUGACGCUGAGGCGCGAAAGCGUGGGGAGCAAACAGGAUUAGAAACCCGGGUAGUCC